AGAGUUUGAUUACGGCUCAGGAUGAACGCUAGCGACAGGCUUAACACAUGCAAGUCGAGGGGCAGCGGGGGAGUAGCAAUACUCCCGCCGGCGACCGGCGCACGGGUGAGUAACACGUAUGAAACCUGCCCGUAGCAGGGGGAUAAGCGGAAGAAAUUCCGUCUAAUACCGCGUAACAACCCUUGGAGGCAUCUCCUCGGGUUUAAAGGGAGCGAUUCCGGCUACGGAUGGUCAUGCGUCGCAUUAGCUUGUUGGCGGGGUAACGGCCCACCAAGGCGACGAUGCGUAGGGGUUCUGAGAGGAAGGUCCCCCACACUGGUACUGAGACACGGACCAGACUCCUACGGGAGGCAGCAGUGAGGAAUAUUGGUCAAUGGCCGCAGGGCUGAACCAGCCAAGUCGCGUGAGGGAUGACGGUCCUAUGGAUUGUAAACCUCUUUUGUCAGGGAGCAAAGGGCGCCACGUGUGGCGUUUUGCGAGUACCUGAAGAAAAAGCGUCGGCUAACUCCGUGCCAG
RNAcentral lists this ribosomal RNA (516 nucleotides) under uncultured bacterium. Its description in RNAcentral is "bacterial SSU rRNA". It matches the Rfam family "Bacterial small subunit ribosomal RNA", at positions 8 to 511 of the family's 1533-position model. The record is from RNAcentral.